GCGGUGGAUGAUGUGGUUUAAUUCGAUGCAACGCGAAAACCUUACCUACCCUUGACAUGCCAAGAAUUUUGCAGAGAUGUGAAAGUGCUCGAAAGAGAACUUGAACACAGGUGCUGCAUGGCCGUCGUCAGCUCGUGUCGUGAGAUGUUGGGUUAAGUCCCGCAACGAGCGCAACCCUUGUCAUUAGUUGCUACCGCAAGGAGCACUCUAAUGAGACUGCCGGUGACAAACCGGAGGAAGGUGGGGAUGACGUCAGGUCCUCAUGGCCCUUAUGGGUAGGGCUACACACGUCAUACAAUGGCCGGUACAGAGGGCUGCCAACCCGCGAGGGGGAGCCAAUCCCAGAAAACCGGUCGUAGUCCGGAUCGUAGUCUGCAACUCGACUGCGUGAAGUCGGAAUCGCUAGUAAUCGCGGAUCAGCUUGCCGCGGUGAAUACGUUCCCGGGUCUU
This 450-nucleotide ribosomal RNA is filed under the name uncultured Aquabacterium sp. Its description in RNAcentral is "bacterial SSU rRNA". It matches the Rfam family "Bacterial small subunit ribosomal RNA", at positions 929 to 1382 of the family's 1533-position model. Lineage: Bacteria; Pseudomonadati; Pseudomonadota; Betaproteobacteria; Burkholderiales; Sphaerotilaceae. The record is from RNAcentral.